RNAcentral lists this ribosomal RNA (253 nucleotides) under uncultured bacterium. Its description in RNAcentral is "partial 16S ribosomal RNA". It matches the Rfam family "Bacterial small subunit ribosomal RNA", at positions 524 to 776 of the family's 1533-position model. The record is from RNAcentral.
UACGUAGGGACCAAGCGUUGUUCGGAUUUACUGGGCGUAAAGGGCGCGUAGGCGGCGUGUCAAGUCAAUUGUGAAAUCUCCGAGCUUAACUCGGAACGGUCAAUUGAUACUGAUGUGCUAGAGUGCAGAAGGGGCAAUCGGAAUUCUUGGUGUAGCGGUGAAAUGCGUAGAUAUCAAGAGGAACACCUGAGGUGAAGACGGGUUGCUGGGCUGACACUGACGCUGAGGCGCGAAAGCUAGGGUAGCAAACAGG